GGUGUCAAUAAAAGAUGCAAUUUUCUUUUUAAUUUUUUUAUGAAUAAUAUAAUAAACCAAAAAUCAUUAAAUAUGGGUCCUAUUGUAACUUCUAGAAAGUUAUUAUAAGAUACUGUUGGAGAAGAACAAAAAUUAAGGUUGUUAUUUCUUUUGUUAACUUGCUAAAUUGAUUAGUUUAGCAAGUAAAAUUAUACUAAAUUCCUGGAGAUGCUCUAGCGCUUGUGCAGAAUUGUAAAUUUUUGUGGACAAAAUUUGAACUCCUAGAUUGCAAUUUAUAUUGGACUCGGAGAAAGUAUGUAUCAGAGCUAGCCAUGAUGUUCUAAUAAUUUUAUAAACACGGAUUAUGAAUCUAGAUCACAUACAAGAUAUCAGUCAUGAGGAUAGUUAGUCAAGUAAAAAAAAGAAAAAUCGGUUGAAAGAACCCUUCACUCUAAAAUUAAUAUUACUAAC
This 450-nucleotide long non-coding RNA is filed under the name Sorghum bicolor (sorghum). RNAcentral's name for it is "long non-coding RNA (SBIC_LNC011966)". The record is from RNAcentral. Lineage: Eukaryota; Viridiplantae; Streptophyta; Magnoliopsida; Poales; Poaceae.